GGAAGGAUCAUUAUUGAAUGAACUUGGUGUGGUUGUUGCUGGCCCUCUCGGGGGCAUGUGCACACCCGCCAUCCUCAUCUCUCCACCUGUGCACCUCUUGUAGACCUGGAUUGACUUUCCGAGGCAACUCGGUCGGGAAGAUUGCUGCGCUCUGUGAGCCAGCUUUCUUUGCAUGUCCAGGCCUAUGUUUUUCAUAUACCCCUAUAGAAUGUAACAGAAUGUAUCAUUGGGCCUUGUGCCUAUAAACCUUAUACAACUUUCAGCAACGGAUCUCUUGGCUCUCGCAUCGAUGAAGAACGCAGCGAAAUGCGAUAAGUAAUGUGAAUUGCAGAAUUCAGUGAAUCAUCGAAUCUUUGAACGCACCUUGCGCUCCUUGGUAUUCCGAGGAGCAUGCCUGUUUGAGUGUCAUUAAAUUCUCAACCUUAUUAGCUUUUGUUGAUAAUGGAUUGGAUGUGGGGGUUUCUUUUGCUGGCUUCUUCACAGAGAUCAGCUCCCCUUAAAUGCAUUAGCUGGUGCCCCGCGUGGACCAUCUAUUGGUGUGAUAAUUAUCUACGCCGUGGAUGUCUGCAAUC
RNAcentral lists this small RNA (572 nucleotides) under uncultured fungus. Its description in RNAcentral is "eukaryotic LSU rRNA". The stretch from base 255 to 408 matches the Rfam family "5.8S ribosomal RNA". Lineage: Eukaryota; Fungi. The record is from RNAcentral.